This 485-nucleotide ribosomal RNA is filed under the name uncultured soil bacterium. RNAcentral describes it as "bacterial SSU rRNA". It matches the Rfam family "Bacterial small subunit ribosomal RNA", at positions 26 to 505 of the family's 1533-position model. The record is from RNAcentral.
AGGGUGAACGCUGGCGGCAGGCCUAACACAUGCAAGUCGAACGGCAGCACAGCAGUAGCAAUACUGUGGGUGGCGAGUGGCGGACGGGUGAGGAAUACAUCGGAAUCUACCUUGUCGUGGGGGAUAACGUAGGGAAACUUACGCUAAUACCGCAUACGAACUAUGGUUGAAAGCGGCGGACCGCAAGGCGUCGCGCGAUUGGAUGAGCCGAUGUCCGAUUAGCUAGUUGCGGGUAAAGGCCCACCAAGGCGACGAUCGGUAGCUGGUCUGAGAGGAUGAUCAGCCACACUGGAACUGAGACACGGUCCAGACUCCUACGGGAGGCAGCAGUGGGAAUAUUGGACAAUGGGGGCAACCCGUGAUCCAGCCAUGCCGCGUGUGUGAAGAAGGCCUUGGUGUAAGCACUUUGUGGGUAAGAAAGCACGUGGUUAAUACCGUUGGUGUCAGUGACGGUAACCCAAAGAAUAAGCACCGGACUAACUUCG